AUUAGCUUGUUGGUGAGGUAAUGGCUCACCAAGGCGACGAUCCGUAGCUGGUCUGAGAGGAUGAUCAGCCACAUCGGGACUGAGACACGGCCCGAACUCCUACGGGAGGCAGCAGUGGGGAAUAUUGGACAAUGGGCGAAAGCCUGAUCCAGCCAUGCCGCGUGUGUGAAGAAGGCUUUCGGGUUGUAAAGCACUUUCAGUGAGGAAGAAGGCCUUGGGGCUAAUACCCCCGAGGAAGGACAUCACUCACAGAAGAAGCACCGGCUAACUCCGUGCCAGCAGCCGCGGUAAUACGGAGGGUGCGAGCGUUAAUCGGAAUUACUGGGCGUAAAGCGCGCGUAGGCGGCGUGAUAAGCCGGUUGUGAAAGCCCCGGGCUCAACCUGGGAACGGCAUCCGGAACUGUCAGGCUAGAGUGCAGGAGAGGAAGGUAGAAUUCCCGGUGUAGCGGUGAAAUGCGUAGAGAUCGGGAGGAAUACCAGUGGCGAAGGCGGCCUUCUGGACUGACACUGACGCUGAGGUGCGAAAGCGUGGGUAGCAAACAGGAUUAGAUACCCUGGUAGUCCACGCCGUAAACGAUGUCGACUAGCCGUUGGGGUCCUUGAGACCUUUGUGGCGCAGUUAACGCGAUAAGUCGACCGCCUGGGGAGUACGGCCGCAAGGUUAAAACUCAAAUGAAUUGACGGGGGCCCGCACAAGCGGUGGAGCAUGUGGUUUAAUUCGAUGCAACGCGAAGAACCUUACCUACCCUUGACAUCGUGCGAACUUUCCAGAGAUGGAUUGGUGCCUUCGGGAGCGCACAGACAGGUGCUGCAUGGCUGUCGUCAGCUCGUGUUGUGAAAUGUUGGGUUAAGUCCCGUAACGAGCGCAACCCUUGUCCCUAUUUGCCAGCGAUUCGGUCGGGAACUCUAGGGAGACUGCCGGUGACAAACCGGAGGAAGGUGGGGACGACGUCAAGUCAUCAUGGCCCUUACGGGUAGGGCUACACACGUGCUACAAUGGCCGGUACAAAGGGUUGCGAAGCCGCGAGGUGGAGCUAAUCCCGGAAAGCCGGUCUCAGUCCGGAUCGGAGUCUGCAACUCGACUCCGUGAAGUCGGAAUCGCUAGUAAUCGUGAAUCAGAAUGUCACGGUGAAUACGUUCCCGGGCCUUGUACACACCGCCCGU
This 1164-nucleotide ribosomal RNA is filed under the name Idiomarina sp. SL004A-30A. RNAcentral describes it as "bacterial SSU rRNA". It matches the Rfam family "Bacterial small subunit ribosomal RNA", at positions 240 to 1397 of the family's 1533-position model. Lineage: Bacteria; Pseudomonadati; Pseudomonadota; Gammaproteobacteria; Alteromonadales; Idiomarinaceae. The record is from RNAcentral.